This 517-nucleotide ribosomal RNA is filed under the name uncultured soil bacterium. RNAcentral describes it as "bacterial SSU rRNA". It matches the Rfam family "Bacterial small subunit ribosomal RNA", at positions 8 to 526 of the family's 1533-position model. The record is from RNAcentral.
AGAGUUUGAUCCUGGCUCAGAUUGAACGCUGGCGGCAUGCCUUACACAUGCAAGUCGAACGGUAGAGGGGCAACCCUUGAGAGUGGCGAACGGGUGAGUAAUAUAUCGGAACGUGCCCAGUCGUGGGGGAUAACGCAGCGAAAGCUGCGCUAAUACCGCAUACGAUCUAAGGAUGAAAGCGGGGGAUCGCAAGACCUCGCGCGAUUGGAGCGGCCGAUAUCAGAUUAGGUAGUUGGUGGGGUAAAAGCCCACCAAGCCGACGAUCUGUAGCUGGUCUGAGAGGACGACCAGCCACACUGGGACUGAGACACGGCCCAGACUCCUACGGGAGGCAGCAGUGGGGAAUUUUGGACAAUGGGCGCAAGCCUGAUCCAGCAAUGCCGCGUGCAGGACGAAGGCCUUCGGGUUGUAAACUGCUUUUGUACGGAGCGAAACGGUCUGGGUUAAUACCCUGGGCUAAUGACGGUACCGUAAGAAUAAGCACCGGCUAACUACGUGCCAGCCGCCGCGGUAAUUC